AUUGAACGCUGGCGGCAGGCCUAACACAUGCAAGUCGAGCGGAUGAAGGGAGCUUGCUCCUGGAUUCAGCGGCGGACGGGUGAGUAAUGCCUAGGAAUCUGCCUGGUAGUGGGGGAUAACGUCCGGAAACGGGCGCUAAUACCGCAUACGUCCUGAGGGAGAAAGUGGGGAUCUUCGGACCUCACGCUAUCAGAUGAGCCUAGGUCGGAUUAGCUAGUUGGUGGGGUAAAGGCCUACCAAGGCGACGAUCCGUAACUGGUCUGAGAGGAUGAUCAGUCACACUGGAACUGAGACACGGUCCAGACUCCUACGGGAGGCAGCAGUGGGGAAUAUCGGACAAUGGGCGAAAGCCUGAUCCAGCCAUGCCGCGUGUGUGAAGAAGGUCUUCGGAUUGUAAAGCACUUUAAGUUGGGAGGAAGGGCAGUAAGUUAAUACCUUGCUGUUUUGACGUUACCAACAGAAUAAGCACCGGCUAACUUCGUG
Molecule: ribosomal RNA, 483 nt
Filed under: uncultured bacterium
Lineage: Bacteria
Description: partial 16S ribosomal RNA
Rfam family: Bacterial small subunit ribosomal RNA
Source: RNAcentral